Molecule: ribosomal RNA, 450 nt
Filed under: uncultured bacterium
Lineage: Bacteria
Description: partial 16S ribosomal RNA
Rfam family: Bacterial small subunit ribosomal RNA
Source: RNAcentral
CCUACGGGGGGCAGCAGUAAGGAAUAUUGGUCAAUGGGCGCAAGCCUGAACCAGCCAUGCCGCGUGAAGGAUGACGGCCCUAUGGGUUGUAAACUUCUUUUGUACGGGAAAAAACCACCGGUCGUGAAUCGGUGCUGAUGGUACCGUAAGAAUAAGCAUCGGCUAACUCCGUGCCAGCAGCCGCGGUAAUACGGAGGAUGCAAGCGUUAUCAGGUUUCAUGGGGUUUAAAGGGAAUAAUAGCGGAGUAAUGAAAGCCUACAGCUUAACUGUAGAACUGCCAUUGCUACUGUUAUUCUUGAGUGUUGUUGAGGUAGGCGGAAUGUGUCAUGUAGCGGUGAAAUGCUUAGAUAUGACACAGAACACCGAUCGCGAAGGCAGCUUACCAAGCAACAACUGACGCUCAUGCACGAAAGCGUGGGGAUCAAACAGGAUUAGAUACCCGAGUAGUC